CCCCCCUACCCCCCCGCAGCCCCAGCGCCUCCCCGGGCCCCUCCCCAGAGACUUUGAUUUCAUCCCCCAAGCCCCGGGCUGGCUGGCAGGUGCGGGGGUGGGAGCCGUCUCCGCUGGAGCCGCUUUGCCAAAGGUCCGGCUGCUGACGUCGGAGCGCCAGCUCCUGUCAAUGAACGGCAGCGGCAGCCUGGGGACUGGCUGGCAACGAGGCUACAGACGUCAUCGCCUCCUGUUGGACGCGGGGGGGUGUCCGAGCCGCAGCUCCGGCUUAAAGGAAAACUCUCCAAGUUCCAGGCAGCCGGGGAGCGCCGUUCCCGACAAGCACAUGCUCCCACAGCCCGGUGCGCGCGGGCACACGGGCGGGCACACUCGCGCACUCGCACACACGCACACUCAGACACGCACGCACCCUCGCACCCGUGUUCCCUGUAGGUGUGCGGUCCAAAGUUGCGGCCGCAAGGAGGGUGAGCUGAGAUGGACCGGUCUUCCUUGGCGCCUGGAGCGCGCUCGACGAGGCUUUCCUGGAGACCCCCAGAAGGACAAGAGGGCAAGAGGAAAGACCCCCUCCGCUUAGAGUUGUCUCCCCGCUUUUCCGAGAUGACCAGCGCGAAAUGUGGACUGCCCCAAGCCUUUGGGACGUGCCUGCGGAGCGGAGCCGGAGCGAGUGUUCUUGGAGAGGUCGUGAACUCGGGCCACCCGGGCUCACGGUCAACUUGUUCUGCGCAGUUCUCAAUGGAGCCCCGGACCCACCGGCUCCUGGCUCGCCUGCUUCCCACCCCCUCUUUUUUGCUGCUCCUCUCUCUUUUAAAUGUGUGAAGUUGAAGUGGAAAGCAGAUAGGUGCUUCGUAUACUUUGGCGGGCCUGGCCCGGCAGCUGUGCUCCAGACGUCCCUUUCUGCUGCACACCCGAUGCGCUCUGUCACAGCUCUUCUGUUCUUCUGGUUGGAAUCCAGGCCUGCUGUGGGUGGGGCAAAAGGGAACAAAGUACAGAGACCACGUGGAGGCCACGAUGGAGAUCACCUUGUGCAGACGGCGGAAGCCGACAGAGACAGAAAGAAUUUCCUGGUGACUCAGUGAAGAUCCCAAGGAUGAUUCAACUUCCCGCCCUGUCGUCACACAUCCUGUGCGUGCCUGCUAACUCGCUUCAGUCCUGUCCAACUCUUUGUGACCCAUGGACUGCAGCCCGCCAAAGCUCCUCUGUCCGUGGGAGUGGGUUUACCGUGCCCUCCUCCAGGGGAUCUUCCUGACCCAGGGAUCCAACCCCUAUCCCUUACAUCUCCUGCAUUGGCAACGGGUUCUUCACCUCUAGCACUACCUGAGAAGGCCAUACGCAUCCUGCCGGUCGUCAGAAGAGGCGUUACGAUGGCUCAGCUGUGAAGAACCCUGUGCAGGAGACGUAAGAGAGGCGGGUUCAGUCCCUGGGUCAGGAAGAUGCCCUGGAGAAGGCAUCUUCAGUAUUCUUACUUGGAGAAUCCCAUGGACAGAGGAGCCUGGUGGGCUACACUCCACAGGUUGGCAAGAGUGGGACAUGCCUAAAAUGACUUAGAACACAUAUAUACACACAUCUGUAUAUUUACUUUAUGGGUGCCAGGGAAUCUUCUUUCUUAGAGAGAUUGAAAUGGACAUGCUUAAAAAAUUAAUAGCCGACUGAAGAGCUGUCAUUUCCAUUCCUCAUCUCAAGUUUUCUCUUACCUUUGGUCAGGGAUUCAAUUUAAACUGCAAGAGAGGCUGGUCCGAAAGAACUCACUGUGACUGAAGGACUAGAAUUUAGCAAAAUAUAUUGGAAAAUGGUAGUAUAUGGUAGACCAUGUGGGUAUACUUAUUAAGUGCAAAGAAAUACAAUUAUAAGGGGACAUUUUAAGGACUUUAAUUAUAAGGAUUCCUAUUGUUUAAUAACAAAUAUGCCUUUUAAAUUUACUAAAUAAAACCCAGUAUGUAAAGCA
This is a long non-coding RNA of Bos indicus x Bos taurus (hybrid cattle), 1942 nucleotides long. NCBI's taxonomy places the organism in Eukaryota, Metazoa, Chordata, Mammalia, Artiodactyla, Bovidae. The record is from Ensembl.